UACCACCUGUACUGACUGUGACUACACUAAGGCUGACAGUCCUGUGAUUAAACACACUGAGAUGAUUAGUCUGAAUGGGCUUUGGGCUCCUGGCUUCUUUCCCAUUGAUUUUCAAUGGGCAAUAAUAACACGCUGAUAAAUUCUACACAGGAAAGGGAUGCAAGGACACAGAGGACUUUCACGCGCACCUUAACCAGACUUAUGUUUGCCCAUGACAAUGGUCACAUUUCACUAAAUUAGUAAUUGUGCCAGCCCCCUUUUUGUUUCUGCAGUAUCAUUUCUUUUCAAUGGAUGGCUUGAAGUAAAGCGAUUGAAGUUUGAUGAAGCCUCAUCUGACAGUAAUUAAAGUCAGGACACUACUACAACAUGAAACAGAAGUGAAGGAAGAAUGAGACUGAGAACAAGCAGGGGAGUGGCAGAGAGAGAGGGAGAGAGAGAAUCCCAAGCAGGCUCCACACCGUCAGCACAGAGAACCGACUGAGCCACCCAGACUCCCCGCUUCCUUCUACUUUCUUUGAGUUUACUUCACUGCCCUUUUCUAAUAUCCUAAGAAGAAUAUUUAGUCCAUUAAUAUUCUGCCAUAAUUCUUAUCUGACUGUUUUUUAGAUUCUAAGGGCAUAAGAAUUAGACGUAAAGGUAUUUUUGACAAUAUAUUCAUAUACAUAGAAAAUAUAAAAGAAUGUACCUAUAAAUUAUUAAAGUAACUAAGUGGAUUUAGCCAGAUUGCUAGAUAAAUAUGCCAAGAUCAGUCUAAGAAAAGAAAUUAUCUUUCCAAAUGCUGGCAACAAAUAUUGGGAAACAAAUUAUUUUAAGAAAGAUAAUUCUUAAAGUAGUGUCAAAACCAUCCAGUAUCUAUAAAUUUAACAAAAUAUGUACAAAGCAUUACUGACAGAAAUUGUUAAAGACCUAAGCAAAUCAUAGGA
Molecule: long non-coding RNA, 923 nt
Organism: Neofelis nebulosa (Clouded leopard)
Lineage: Eukaryota; Metazoa; Chordata; Mammalia; Carnivora; Felidae
Exons: 3
Source: RefSeq, a predicted model, not a curated record